UGGACCAGUGAUGACCACUCUUGGCAUAUGCAUCGUGGUUGAUGAAUACGCGUCUAGAACUCUGAGGUCCAA
This is a small nucleolar RNA of Physeter macrocephalus (sperm whale), 72 nucleotides long. The record is from Ensembl. Lineage: Eukaryota; Metazoa; Chordata; Mammalia; Artiodactyla; Physeteridae.